UGAUGAGGAGAUGCUACGGCAUUGAAGCAGUCUAUGUCAGACUUCCAAGAAAAGCUCGCACUGUCGUAAAUAAAUAAUGCCUGUACCAUAACCGACACAGGUGGGUAGGUAGAGUAUACUAAGGGGCGCGAGCUAACUCUCUCUAAGGAACUCGGCAAAAUGACUCCGUAACUUCGGGGGAAGGAGUGCCUUAUAUUUAAGGUUGCAAUAACAAGAUCCAAGCAACUGUUUACCAAAAACACAGGUCUCCGCUAAGUCGUAAGACGAUGUAUGGGGGCUGACGCCUGCCCAGUGCCAGAAGGUUAAAGAAGUUGGUUAGCAUUCGCGAAGCUGGUAACUGAAGCCCUGGAGAACGGCGGCCGUAAAUAUAACGGUCCUAAGGUAGCGAAAUUCCUUGUCGGGUAAGUUCCGACCUGCACGAAAGGCGUAAUGAUUUGGAUACUGUCUCGGAGAGGGGCUCGGUGAAAUAGACUUGUCUGUGAAGAUGCGGACUACCUGCACCUGGACAGAAAGACCCUAUGAAGCUUUACUGUAACUUGAAAUUGAAAUUGGACUUUAUUUGCGCAGUAUAGGUGGGGGGCGUUGAUUUUAUUCUUGCGGGAAUUUAGGAGCCAUCAGUGAGAUACCACUCUGGUAAUGUUAGAUUUCUAACUUUGUAUCAUGAUCUGGUCAAAGAACAGUUUCAGGCGGGCAGUUUGACUGGGGCGGUCGCCUCCCAAAUGGUAACGGAGGCGUACAAAGGUUUCCUCUGAACGUGUAGAAAUCGUAUCUAGAGUGUAAAGGCAUAAGGAAGCUUGACUGUGAGACCUACAAGUCGAGCAGGGACGAAAGUCGGUCUUAGUGAUCUGACGGUGCUGAGUGGAAAGGCCGUCACUCAACGGAUAAAAGUUACUCUAGGAUAACAGGCUGAUCUCCCCCAAGAGUUCACAUCGACGGGGAGGUUUGGCACCUCGAUGUCGGCUCAUCGCAUCCUGGGGCGGUAGUACGUCCCAAGGGUUGGGCUGUUCGCCCAUGAAAGCGGUACGCGAGCUGGGUUCAGAACGUCGUGAGACAGUUCGGUCCAUAUCCGGUGUAGGCGUUAGAAUAUUGAGAGGAGCCUUCUUUAGUACGAGAGGACCGAGAAGGACAUACCUCUGGUGUACCAGUUAUCGUGCCAACGGUAAACGCUGGGUAGCUAUGUAUGGAGAGGAUAACCGCUGAAAGCAUCUAAGUGGGAAGCCCACCUCAAGAUAAGUAUUCUCAUCACGGAAGUGAGUAAGGUCACGGAAAGACUAACCGUUUGAUAGGCAUUAAGUGGAAAUGUAGUAAUAUACGAGCUGAGAUGUCCUAACAGACC
Molecule: ribosomal RNA, 1336 nt
Filed under: metagenome
Description: bacterial LSU rRNA
Rfam family: Bacterial large subunit ribosomal RNA
Source: RNAcentral